GCUCGCUCCUUCAGUUAGUGGACAGCGCUGGGAGGGAGCGGUACUACUGUACAUUCUUCUUGUCUUGUUGAUCAAUAAUUGUGUUGCCGUGCUGGCAUCGGCUACAUGUUCAAGAAUCUGGAAUUUAGAUUUUAAAUACUCGGUGUUACAGGUGUGUGACAACACUGUGUUGCAGGGAACGACCUUCACAAUGGAUAAAGGGAAAAUGUCCUGUUUGAGCUGUACAUUUGUCGAGGAUCCAUGUACUGAAGGAGGUGACUCGAGUCUUGCCCAGGAGUCAUCAGUGACGCGACACAUCACAAAGUCCAGCGCAAGCCAGCUUGUUACCGAUGAAGAAUGUAUUGCAGAAAGUAACAGUAUAAAUUUCGCUGGGCAAUCUCUUACUCAGCAAACACAUACUAAUAGAACCCAAUAUAUCCUCAGUAAACCAUUCACUAAAUGUGAACCCAGACACAGCGAGAGACAACAGCAAGAUCUGCGCCCAGGAACCUCACACUGUAUCAUGCCGCCAUCAGUCUCCGAGGCUGGCUAAUAGUCUCACUGAAAACACCUCUCGAUCAGACGUCUAGCCAAAACCCUAUUGUCGAUGAAAGCUUGUCCUCUCAACCAGUCACAUUUCCAGGAAUCAAACAAAGACACAGAUACUGAAUACAGCUUAGACCAGUCACUAACGAGAGCUGACUAUGUUGCGAAAGAACAACAGAUAUUUAUCGGAUUUACCGCCAGCCGAUGAGGAGUGUUCAGCUAGACAGAACAAGACAUCCUCGACAGCAAAUAAACAGGUUCUUGAAAGAGAUAAAACACUGAAAAUGAUGAGGAGUACAUCACAGGCGACCAGAUGCAACGUCUCAUCACCAGUGUCAUCAGUGACCCGUAUACCUACAAAAGUAACUCGAAGUUCAUCAUCAGCAACGGUGGAUCUACAAAGCUUGUCAGAGGAUGAGUCCAGUAAUUCAUCUCCGUAACUAUGGACAUGGAAACUUUAGGUGAAGGAAGAGACAGGAAGCCAUUAUCAGUUCCUACGGAUGUUCAAAUAUUACAAGAAGGUUGGACCAGCAGCAGACAUUCAGUCACUGAGGGAUCCAGGAGUUCAUCUCCAUUACCUGUGAACACUCGGCAUUCAGAAGAAGGAUCUGGCAGUUUAUCACUAGUGACCAUGUCUACUCAAACACGGUUCAAUGGAAUGUCUGAGAGUUCCACCCCAGAGAUUAUUUCCAUUGAAACUCCACCAAGCGGAAGGUCUAGAAGCUCAACUCCGGUUCUUACAUAUACAACAUCCCGAAGUCCUUCCCCAGUGUGUGUCUCGACUCAAACAUCGAUAAACAGAAGGACCACGAGUAGUAUACGAAUGAGUGUGUCUACCCAGACAUCGAGAUGUGUGAGGUCCACUAGCACACUGCCUGUGACUAUACCGGCCGCAACACAGAGGGACGUUCUGGAGGUCCGGGUAUAUGGGCGCUCUUCACAAAAAAUUUGUAGAAGAUAAAUGCAGGAAAGUUAAGAAGAAGCGCCUUAAGCCUGUAAUUACCAAAAAAGGAAGAGCAAACACUGCACAAAACUUUAAAGUCUUCUCUUCAAACCCGAAGAGCAAUGAAGUCUGACAACCCGUCUGUAAUACCCAAGUUAACCAUAAAACUACGAACCAGGAAGUACACUCAACACACAUUGGCUUCUGUGUCUGGUCAAACACAACCGAAAAGAAGAUCCAGAAGACUUAAAGAAGCCCUUGCUCCUGCCCAACUAAAUAAGGUAACCAAAAAGUCAGAAAAUCAACUUCUUUUGUGUCCACCUGGCCAAACGCAGAAGACCACACCGAAGGAUAUAACCUCAGAUGAUGCGUUUGUCGGAACAUCAGUCACUGAGAUCGGCGAGAAGUCACCCAUGGGGUCUGCAUUAUCCCCCCCCAAAAAUAAUGAAAAAACGGUGAAUCUGUCACAGGAUGAAAAAUCAACCACAUUAUCUGGUGACGCUGAUGUGAAGAGCAGGAAUAUAAAAGGAAACCCGAAUUUAUCUAAAGAUUUACACAAGCGGAGACAAGGAAAAGAAACAAAUGAAUCUCCAGAUACAGCAAAAGUAGUUACUGAUAUUACCCAGAGUGCAGGAACCACGAAUUCACUGCCACUCGAGCAAACAUUUCCCCCACAGGUUCAAAAAAGAAAAUGUGGCGCCACACCCACAUCACUUAAAAAGAAGUGUCACGGGCCUAAUACUGUGAGUGCUACUCCUGUAUCAACAAAAAAAGAAUAAGACAAACAUUCCUCCAGCUAACUACGCCUCUCCUGAAACAACAGAGGCGUUCAAGGCAGUGGAGGAGGGGAACCUAGAGCGGGUGGAGGACUUGGUGCAGCUCACUAGUCCAACAGUGAGGAAUAUCCAGACUGGCUGUACUCUUCUGCACGCUGCAGCAGCUAACAACCAGUCACACGUUGUGCUGUUCCUCCUCAAGCUGAUCAGCCCCAAUGUAGUUAACAAGGACGGCCAGACACCAGCUCACCUGGCCGAGGGGCCACACUAAAGUGCUGAAGAUUUUAUUGUCUGAUGAGGAAAUGAACCACGACAAACGGGACAUCUGCCACAGGACUUACAAAGACAUGGUAGGUACAGUUUUAUUG
Molecule: long non-coding RNA, 2612 nt
Organism: Homarus americanus (American lobster)
Lineage: Eukaryota; Metazoa; Arthropoda; Malacostraca; Decapoda; Nephropidae
Exons: 4
Source: RefSeq, a predicted model, not a curated record